Molecule: long non-coding RNA, 1598 nt
Filed under: Sorghum bicolor (sorghum)
Lineage: Eukaryota; Viridiplantae; Streptophyta; Magnoliopsida; Poales; Poaceae
Description: long non-coding RNA (SBIC_LNC000855)
Source: RNAcentral
GCCAGUGCCAACAAAAAGAUUAAGGAAUUAGAGCGCCGCUAAGUUAUCUAGAUUGGACCUUGAGGCAAUGCAUCUUAGUCAUCUAUCUUUAAAUUUGGUUUAGGUUUACUAUUAUUGUCAGUUUGCUACUAUUAUCGUCAGUUUGUUACUAGUUAGUUGUAAUAAAUGCCUCAAGAUUAAUAAAGAGUAUUAUUAUUAUUAUGUCCUGUGUGUCUCUACUUUAUUUUUGUGCAAGAAAGCAGAAAACAAGUAUGGGGGAGAUCCCUCAACACGCCAAACACACUUCGACUACACCACUCCACAAUUCAGGUACAUACUCUGCACACUUUACACAUACACAUAUCUUGGAUUAUGCAGAAUAUUGUUUCCGACAUGAUAAAGAUUAAAUUUUUUCUAAUCAUGAUUAAUCUCACUCUGUGAUAUUUCCAGAAAACUUGCAACUAUUAUAAAAUCAUUUUAAAACCCUGUGUUACUUAAGACAAUAUGGAAUGUGAGAUGGUAGAGUAUGAGUUUCUUAUCUUGAUAUCAUUGUUCCUUGGAGAAUUUAUUUCAAAGUCUUCAAAAUUCUAGCUACCAUCCUCAGUGUUUUAUAUGCCUGAUAAGAACUGAAAAUAUUAAUUAUAAUUAUAAAAGCUAUCGACUCUGUAUUGAGUUUGUUCAAAAUGAGUUAGACCCUUAUUGAGAAAUUUAUCAUGCUCCUAAGAUCAGGACAUUUAUUCAGAAAGAUUCACUCUUGCGAAAAUAAAGAUAUUUCGAGGAAAUAAAAAGGAGCAAGUGCUUGAUAACCUCGCAGAAAAAAUGGACAAGUGUCCGGCAGUAGAAUUAGGGAUACCUCGGUAUCCACUUAAAAAAAGAAGAGAAAAAAAGAAAAUGAUAGCCCAUGGUCCCUCUCAUAAGCAAUAUGCCAGCAAGAGUUGACAAAGAUUUUAAUUUCCAAAGUCUUUGAUCUAAGAGUAUGACAUUCCCCUCCUCGGAUCCCGUUUUGAUCAGGCGAUAAAUACAAAGUAAGUAUGCUUGAGAAUUUUUGCAAAUUAAAAUAGCCUCAGUGAGAUAUAUAAAAGAUAAUGAGUGAUCUGAGAAAACCUAUGAGGAUAAAAGGUAUGCUAACUUUCUUUUCAAAAAUAUAUAAAAACUCCAAGUGACACGAUUGAGAAGAAAGGAUCUUCACUCUUAACCAUAUACUUCACUGACUACAGUACACAGUGGAUUUUAACACCCUGCAAUUAUGAAAAGAAUGUUUUAAAAUGUUUUACCCCAGAUAUUGUUCUGAACCAUCCUUUUCUCGAGGACGAGUAAAAGCCUAAGUAUGGGGGCAUUUGUUGACGGUUCUUAAGUAUCAAUUUUAAUUAUCAAAUAAACAAUAGAAAGGACCAAUAUGCAACCAACUCUUAGAAUUAGGGUUUGAUCUGACAGAAUUCCACGAGUUUUGUUGUUUAUCUGUUUUUGUAGGGGGUUAUCAGGAAAUAAGGAAGAAACGCCCACAUCUCGGUAUUACAUAGAGAUAUCAACGCACCGCAUAAUUUUCUACCAUCUAGAAGACUCCAGAAGCCACGGGAAUAAAGCGGAGGCCGAAAGGGGCCAGGCCCAGGGCGCCCGCC